UACGGAGGAUCCGAGCGUUAUCCGGAUUUAUUGGGUUUAAAGGGUGCGUAGGCGGGAUAAUAAGUCAGCGGUGAAAGUUUUCGGCUCGACCGGAAAAUUGCCGUUGAAACUGUUGUUCUUGAGUGCAGAAGAGGUAGGCGGAAUUCGUUAUGUAGCGGUGAAAUGCGUAGAUAUAACGAGGAACUCCGAUUGCGCAGGCAGCUUACUAAACUACUACUGACGCUCAGGCACGAAGGCGUGGGGAUCAAACAGGAUUAGAUACCCGGGUAGUCCCUGAGCGGG
This 282-nucleotide ribosomal RNA is filed under the name uncultured prokaryote. Its description in RNAcentral is "partial 16S ribosomal RNA". It matches the Rfam family "Bacterial small subunit ribosomal RNA", at positions 524 to 803 of the family's 1533-position model. The record is from RNAcentral.